UGCGUUCCCGGGCCUUGUACACACCGCCCGUCAAGUCAUGAAAGUGGGCAGCACCCGAAGACGGUGGCCUAACCCUUGUGGGGGGAGCCGUCUAAGGUGAGGCUCGUGAUUGGGACUAAGUCGUAACAAGGUAGC
RNAcentral lists this ribosomal RNA (135 nucleotides) under uncultured bacterium. RNAcentral's name for it is "partial 16S ribosomal RNA". It matches the Rfam family "Bacterial small subunit ribosomal RNA", at positions 1367 to 1500 of the family's 1533-position model. The record is from RNAcentral.